AUGGUAAACAAGUUCCAUGGCUCUUCCUUUAGGAACUCUUCUCCCAACAACCCUAAGUUCAUCCAAAUCAUUACUUCCUCAGAUGAGUUAUGCCGUCUCAGGAUUCCAGUAGUAUUUGCCAAAAGACAUUGCAAGAACAUGUUAAACCCCGUGUUUGUUGAGGCUCCCAUGGAAAAGCAUGGGAGGUUGAAGUGGAAAAUUCUCAAGGCCAAAUUUGGCUAGCCAAAGGAUGGAAAGAUUUUUGUGGCUAUUACUCAAUAAGCGUCAGGAGCUUAUUAGUCUUCACAUACAACCCGCGUUCUCACUUUGAUGUCGCUAUAUAUGAUCAGAGUACAACAGAAAUUGAAUAUCCAAUAGAUCAAGAGACUGAAUCAGAUGAAGAAGAGGAAGAUAUUCCAGUCCUCCAAGCUAAUGCUAAUGUAAUCGAGGAAGAAGAGGAAGAUAUUCCAGUUAACCUUCAAACUAAUGCUAAUGUAAUUGAGCAAGGCAAAACAAUCAAGCAAGAAGAGCACUGAGGUGGAGGUGAUCCCAAAUAGAAACUCAGAAGCAGCAGUCGCGAUUGGAACUACUGACACAGAUACCGAUGUCUCUUCUGAGGAAUCAGAUGAUGAGUCCAAAAAUAUGUGAUCAUAUGGUUAAAGCAUAUAUGCAAUAGUUUCUGGGCUAUUUCUUAUUAGUUAUGGUUCUAAAGAUCGUUCGAAUUAUUAGUGAAGUGUUCUAUUAGAUAUAUGAACAAUAUAAUGUUGUUGCUUUUUUA
Molecule: long non-coding RNA, 757 nt
Organism: Solanum tuberosum (potato)
Lineage: Eukaryota; Viridiplantae; Streptophyta; Magnoliopsida; Solanales; Solanaceae
Exons: 3
Source: RefSeq, a predicted model, not a curated record